AUGACUUCUCGGCCUUUGGGGCUAAGAUCAAGUGUAGUACCUGUCCUUAUCAGUUUAAUAUCUGAUAUGUAAACAUAUUAAAUAGAUUUUUGGAGCAUAAAAAAAAAAUCCCAC
This is a small nuclear RNA of Camelus dromedarius (Arabian camel), 114 nucleotides long. Its record names the gene U2. It matches the Rfam family "U2 spliceosomal RNA". From Rfam's summary of the family: U2 is a small nuclear RNA (snRNA) component of the spliceosome (involved in pre-mRNA splicing). Complementary binding between U2 snRNA (in an area lying towards the 5' end but 3' to hairpin I) and the branchpoint sequence (BPS) of the intron results the bulging out of an unpaired adenosine, on the BPS, which initiates a nucleophilic attack at the intronic 5' splice site, thus starting the first of two transesterification reactions that mediate splicing. NCBI's taxonomy places the organism in Eukaryota, Metazoa, Chordata, Mammalia, Artiodactyla, Camelidae. The record is from Ensembl.